Daphnia pulex (common water flea) is the source of this 848-nucleotide long non-coding RNA. RefSeq lists it as uncharacterized. The transcript has 3 exons. The record is from RefSeq and is a predicted model, not a curated record. NCBI's taxonomy places the organism in Eukaryota, Metazoa, Arthropoda, Branchiopoda, Diplostraca, Daphniidae.
UAUGAAAGUUACCAUCCACCUUCUGAAUUCCUAUUUUUUUUUGCGAAAUGAUGUAGGAUAAUUAGAAAUGGGUCUAAUUGACACAAACUGCUGAAAAUUACGGAAAACACGUAGGUUGACAAUUGCAGACAUUUUAUUCGAUUUUUCUUUUACUCUUUUUUAGCAGACUAAAAGACAAGUUUGAUCGCCAUCUAUGAUUCACAUUUACAACUGCUGAUAUGGAACAAUAAGUCUUCGUUACGUAUGACCGCCGCCAUUUUUUGCAGCAGUGAUUUGAUUGAUGGAAUGGCGUAUUUUCCUUCCUUACAGCUAAAGUUUUCUUCAUAAAAAUGUUAUUUCCUUUUUGGAUUGUUAGAUGUGACCGAAUCUUAAUUAUUUGUGUGUGAAUUUAGUUAAUUGUGUGGUAAUAACCUAGCCUAUUAAUUUCUACUUGGAAAUUUCAGCUGAUCAUGUGGCCUACAUUUUGCCAAGAUGUCGUCUCUUUUUCCUGUACGUACCAGCUGUACGGUUUGUAAGAAACACUUCAGAACAAAUCAGACAGUCUGGUGAAGUCUGAGCUUCGUCGUUGCUGCCCAAUGUACUUAUGGAUUUGAUGCAGCCAGCUGGUAAAGGGUGUUCUUCUUGCUACCUGUACUCUUGUUUGUUUCGUUAAAUGAAGAAACAUGAACAACUGAAGCUUAUCGUGUAUGUUCGCGUAGUCGUUGCUGUCCGCUGUGGUGCUUUGUUGCAGCCUAUGCUGGUGAUAGAUCUUUCUGCAUCGAAUUCAAUUGGCCGUGCUGUUAUCGUGUUACCGUAGUUGCAUUAUUAUUUUAUUAAAUUGGAAUUGUGUCAAUGUAGUUUACCGUUAA